GCUACUGCUCCUCCAUGUAAAUCUGCUGCUAGAUGAAGACCAUGUAAAUCUAAACAUUCUAAAUCCGCUGCACUACUAGGGUUGCUCUGUGUUGUGCCCUUCUGUUGGGUGAAUCUAUUCUUAUCUACUAGCUUUGACAUAGGCUGCUACAUCAUUUGGAGCUUGGAAUCGAUUUCAUCAUCAGGUUAAAAAACGAGUUUUUGAUGGCUCAGUUCAACAUAUUCACUUGCACUGGAAAUACAGGGGACUAGUGAUUUGUGGAAUUUGAGCUACAGAGAAUUGAGCCCCCACAUGCCGCUGCCCCAUCCGC
Molecule: long non-coding RNA, 310 nt
Organism: Triticum aestivum (bread wheat)
Lineage: Eukaryota; Viridiplantae; Streptophyta; Magnoliopsida; Poales; Poaceae
Exons: 3
Source: RefSeq, a predicted model, not a curated record